RNAcentral lists this ribosomal RNA (471 nucleotides) under Limosilactobacillus reuteri. Its description in RNAcentral is "partial 23S ribosomal RNA". It matches the Rfam family "Bacterial large subunit ribosomal RNA", at positions 1 to 463 of the family's 2925-position model. The record is from RNAcentral. Lineage: Bacteria; Bacillati; Bacillota; Bacilli; Lactobacillales; Lactobacillaceae.
UUAGGUUAAGUUAUGAAGGGCGCAUGGUGAAUGCCUUGGUACUAGGAGCCGAUGAAGGACGGGACUAACACCGAUAUGCUUCGGGGAGCGGUAAGUACGCUUUGAUCCGGAGAUUUCCGAAUGGGGCAACCCAAUCAGCUUAGUCGCUGAUUACUUGACUAGUGAAUACAUAGCUAGCAAGAGGUAGACGCAGUGAACUGAAACAUCUUAGUAGCUGCAGGAAGAGAAAGAAACAUCGAUUCCCUGAGUAGCGGCGAGCGAAAAGGGAAGAGCCCAAACCAACAAGCUUGCUUGUUGGGGUUGUAGGACUGAACAUUAGAGUUACCAAAGUGCGACGUAGUCGCAACAGUUGGGAAGCUGUGCCAUAGAGGGUGAAAGCCCCGUAGACGAAACGUCACACUCUCUGUUCAGGAUCCUGAGUACGGCGGGACACGUGAAACCCCGUCGGAACCCGCGAGGACCAUCUCGCAA